GACCGAGCAACGCCGCGUGAGUGAAGAAGGUUUUCGGAUCGUAAAGCUCUGUUGUAAGAGAAGAACGAGUGUGAGAGUGGAAAGUUCACACUGUGACGGUAUCUUACCAGAAAGGGACGGCUAACUACGUGCCAGCAGCCGCGGUAAUACGUAGGUCCCGAGCGUUGUCCGGAUUUAUUGGGCGUAAAGCGAGCGCAGGCGGUUAGAUAAGUCUGAAGUUAAAGGCUGUGGCUUAACCAUAGUACGCUUUGGAAACUGUAUAACUUGAGUGCAAGAGGGGAGAGUGGAAUUCCAUGUGUAGCGGUGAAAUGCGUAUAUAUAUGGAGGAACGCCGGUGGCGAAAGCGGCUCUCGGGCUUGUAACUG
Molecule: ribosomal RNA, 365 nt
Filed under: Streptococcus sp. oral taxon 070
Lineage: Bacteria; Bacillati; Bacillota; Bacilli; Lactobacillales; Streptococcaceae
Description: bacterial SSU rRNA
Rfam family: Bacterial small subunit ribosomal RNA
Source: RNAcentral